AAGUCUGAUGGCAGCAAUGCCGCGUGAGUGAAGAAGGCCUUCGGAUCGUAAAACACUGUUGUUGGGGAAGAAAGGUCUGAGAGUAUACGUUUGCUAUUGACGUUACCCGAACAAAAAGCCACGGCUAACUACGUG
Molecule: ribosomal RNA, 135 nt
Filed under: uncultured Lactobacillus sp.
Lineage: Bacteria; Bacillati; Bacillota; Bacilli; Lactobacillales; Lactobacillaceae
Description: partial 16S ribosomal RNA
Rfam family: Bacterial small subunit ribosomal RNA
Source: RNAcentral